Molecule: ribosomal RNA, 253 nt
Filed under: uncultured bacterium
Lineage: Bacteria
Description: partial 16S ribosomal RNA
Rfam family: Bacterial small subunit ribosomal RNA
Source: RNAcentral
UACGUAGGGUGCAAGCGUUGUCCGGAAUUAUUGGGCGUAAAGAGCUCGUAGGCGGUUUGUCGCGUCUGCUGUGAAAACUCGGGGCUUAACCCCGGACUUGCAGUGGGUACGGGCAGACUAGAGUGUGGUAGGGGAGACUGGAAUUCCUGGUGUAGCGGUGAAAUGCGCAGAUAUCAGGAGGAACACCGAUGGCGAAGGCAGGUCUCUGGGCCACUACUGACGCUGAGAAGCGAAAGCAUGGGGAGCGAACAGG